This 29-nucleotide small RNA is filed under the name Bombyx mori (domestic silkworm). RNAcentral's name for it is "ovarian small RNA-32609". Lineage: Eukaryota; Metazoa; Arthropoda; Insecta; Lepidoptera; Bombycidae. The record is from RNAcentral.
UGAUCAGAUGUUUAGAUUGAAUCGCUGGC